UCCGUAGGUGGCGUGUUAAGUCAGUGGUGAAAGCCUGCAGCUCAACUGUAGAGGUGCCAUUGAUACUGACAUGCUUGAGUAUGGACGAGGUAGGCGGAAUUUGUGGUGUAGCGGUGAAAUGCAUAGAUACCACAAAGAACACCGAUAGCGAAGGCAGCUUACUGGACCAUAACUGACACUGAGGCACGAAAGCGUGGGGAGCGAACAGGAUUAGAUACCCUGGUAGUCC
Molecule: ribosomal RNA, 229 nt
Filed under: uncultured bacterium
Lineage: Bacteria
Description: partial 16S ribosomal RNA
Rfam family: Bacterial small subunit ribosomal RNA
Source: RNAcentral